RNAcentral lists this long non-coding RNA (306 nucleotides) under Elaeis guineensis (African oil palm). RNAcentral describes it as "long non-coding RNA (EGUI_LNC048342)". The record is from RNAcentral. Lineage: Eukaryota; Viridiplantae; Streptophyta; Magnoliopsida; Arecales; Arecaceae.
CUAAGUGCAUCCUACUCCAAACAGCAAAUCUGAACCUACUAAAGCCAACAACACAGCAAGGAUCCGGAUGGCUAGGAACUAAGAAAAUGUAUAGUCAAAUCCAGUAGCCUCACUGCAAAUAGCUAAUGAUACCGCAGGUCAAAGGACCACUUACACCACUACAGCAUUGAGAAGACCACUAACGAGUGAGUAGACAUCCAUGUGGUUCUCAUGUUGGUCACGCUCAGUGUAAGUUGUUCUCUAACAACCACCCAUACCUUCAUCUCAAUAUCUCUACACCACAGAUCUGAGACUCAUCUGCCCACA